Molecule: long non-coding RNA, 536 nt
Organism: Carassius auratus (goldfish)
Lineage: Eukaryota; Metazoa; Chordata; Actinopteri; Cypriniformes; Cyprinidae
Exons: 3
Source: RefSeq, a predicted model, not a curated record
UUUACUUUUAUUGUUUUCGGGUUUUAGCAACAUUUUGUUUAUUGUACUGUAUGGUAUUUACUCAUGAUUCAUUUAACUCACACACAUGAACAUAACGUUUCUGAUUCAUUGUGUUUUCUCUUUCUGUCUUCAGUCUGUGUGAUUGCAGCAUUACAGAGAAACAGUUUAUCAUCCUGGCUUCAGCUCUGAAAUCAAACCCAUCUCACCUGAGAGAACUGAAGCUGAGCUGGAAUAAACUAGGAGACUCUGGAGUGAAAAACCUCCGUGAUCUACUGAUGGACACACAGUUCAAGCUGGAGAAACUACAUCUGUGUGAUUGCAGUAUUACAAAGAAACAGUGUAUCAUCCUGACUUCAGCUUUGAAAUCAAACCCAUCACACCUGAGAGAACUGAAUCUGAGCUGGAAUAAACUAGGAGUCUCUGGAGUGAAAAACCUCAGUGAUCUACUGAUGGACACACAGUUCAAGCUGGAGAAACUAGAUCUGUGUGGAUGCAGUAUUACAGAGAAACAGUGUAUCAUCCUGACUUCAGCUCUG